This 1268-nucleotide ribosomal RNA is filed under the name Clostridioides difficile. RNAcentral's name for it is "bacterial LSU rRNA". It matches the Rfam family "Bacterial large subunit ribosomal RNA", at positions 786 to 2072 of the family's 2925-position model. The record is from RNAcentral. Lineage: Bacteria; Bacillati; Bacillota; Clostridia; Peptostreptococcales; Peptostreptococcaceae.
GCGUUGAAAAGCUCGGGGAUGACUUGUGGGUAGCGGUGAAAUUCCAAUCGAGCCCGGAGAUAGCUGGUUCUCCCCGAAAUAGCUUUAGGGCUAGCCUCAAGGUGAGAGAUACGGAGGUAGAGCACUGAAUGUCCUAGGGGGUAUUGCACCUACCGAAGACUAUCAAACUCCGAAUGCCGUCAUCUUAUACUUGGGAGUCAGACUGUGGGUGAUAAGAUUCAUAGUCGAAAGGGCAACAGCCCAGAUCGUCAGCUAAGGUCCCUAAAUGUAAGUUAAGUGGUAAAGGAUGUGGGAUUGCACAGACAACCAGGAUGUUGGCUUAGAAGCAGCCACUCAUUCAAAGAGUGCGUAAUAGCUCACUGGUCGAGUGAUCCUGCGCCGAAGAUUUCCGGGGCUAAAACUUACUACCGAAGCUACGGCAUCAGUAAUGAUGGGUAGGGGAGCUUCCCAUACGGGUUGAAGCAUGACCGUAAGGACAUGUGGACAGUAUGGGAGUGAGAAUGUUGGCAUGAGUAGCGAGAUGUGGGUGAGAAUCCCACAGGCCGUAAACCCAAGGUUUCCAGGGGAAGGUUCGUCCGCCCUGGGUUAGUCGGGACCUAAGCUGAGGCCGAAAGGCGUAGGUGAUGGACAACAGGUUGAUAUUCCUGUACUACCGAUAACCGUUUGAGAGAAGGGAUGACACAGUAGGAUAAGCUAAGCACACUGUUGGUUAUGUGUGCCCAAGCAUUGAGGCAGUCAAAGUAGGUAAAUCCGCUUUGAUAAUGCUGGGGUGUGAUGGGGAGCGAAAUUUAGUAGCGAAGUAGCUGAUUUCACACUGUCAAGAAAAGUCGCUAUCGAGGUUAAAGGUACCCGUACCGCAAACCGACACAGGUGGGUGAGGAGAGUAUCCUAAGGCCAGCGAGAGAACUGUUGUUAAGGAACUCGGCAAAAUGACCCCGUAACUGAGGGAUAAGGGGUGCCACCAUCAGGUGGCCGCAGAGAAUAGGCCCAAGCGACUGUUUACCAAAAACAUAGGUUUCUGCUAAGUCGCAAGACGAUGUAUAGGAGCUGACGCCUGCCCGGUGCUGGAAGGUUAAGGGGAUCUGUUAGAGCAAUCGAAGCAGUGAACUUAAGCCCCAGUAAACGGCGGCCGUAACUAUAACGGUCCUAAGGUAGCGAAAUUCCUUGUCGGGUAAGUUCCGACCCGCACGAAAGGCGUAACGAUUUGGGCACUGUCUCAACAACAGACUCGGUGAAAUUGUAAUUCCGGUGAAGAUGCCGGAUACCUG